Long non-coding RNA from Scylla paramamosain (green mud crab), 817 nucleotides. RefSeq lists it as uncharacterized. The transcript has 2 exons. The record is from RefSeq and is a predicted model, not a curated record. Lineage: Eukaryota; Metazoa; Arthropoda; Malacostraca; Decapoda; Portunidae.
CAAAUAUAUUCCAAAUUAUUAUAGAAAUAACCCAACAGUGAAUAAGUUUAUCCAAUUAAUGCAAAGUAAAAGUCAAUAUAUUUUGUCUAACAUUUCUCUUUUUUUAAAAGCUACCUAUAAUUUUUUUAGGUAACAGAAAGUUGAUUUAUAUAAGUUGUUAGUGUUUGUUUGUAUCUGAAAUAAUUGCAGGAGCUGUGCUCCAUACUUUGUAUCACAAAGUCUGAGCAUGUAAAUAAAUCUGAAUCUGAAUCUGAAUCUGAAUCACACACACACACACACACACACACACACACACACACACACACACACACACACACACACACACACACACACACACACACACACACACACACACACACACACAGCCUGGCGUGACCUUUUAUGCUUCCCUCAAUCACACAUCAUAAAGGUCACUUCACGUUUCCACUUUUGCAGGCCACGUUCAUGAUGUUAUCGCUGGCCUGUUAUGUUGAGAGUGACGCUGACCCUUCCCUCACUCCCCAACUCCCCAACUCACUCCCUGCACGCGCCCACUCGUCCAGUCCUUUCCCAGUGCACGCCUACACACCUGCCAAACCGCCCAGGUGUAAAGGGCAUCAGUGGUUCUGCGGCAUCAGCCCAGCCACCGAGGGCGUGUCAGUAAAGGACAGUCAGAUACCACUUGGAAUUGCUCGGAUUGUUUAAACUUUUGUAUUGUUCUUGAGCCACAACGAGCUCAUGUGUAAUGAUGCGUGUGAUUGUAAGGAUAUAUCUGCAAUCGUAAUUUAUAACUUUGUACUCACUUUGUAGUCGAUUAAUUUAUAUAUCUAUCUAUUUA